This is a long non-coding RNA of Cucumis melo (muskmelon), 808 nucleotides long. RefSeq lists it as uncharacterized. The record is from RefSeq and is a predicted model, not a curated record. The transcript is spliced from 3 exons. Lineage: Eukaryota; Viridiplantae; Streptophyta; Magnoliopsida; Cucurbitales; Cucurbitaceae.
CAGAGAGAUAGAUGCUUUUAAAGGAAGGUAAGUAAUUCUCUUCUCCUGAUGUCUUUGGUUUUUGUAGAUAAGGAACAAUCCUUCUAUUUUUAGUUUAUUUGGCCUCUGUGGCUAAAAAGUGAAAAAUUGAUGUCACUUUCUAAGUCGCAAACAACUAAAGGUAUAUGGUUGGCUAGAUGCGCCAGCAUCGAGCCUUAUACACUUGUGAUGGAUUUGGAAGGAACUGAUGGAAGAGAGCGAGGAGAGGACGACACUGCAUUUGAGAAGCAAAGUGCCCUCUUUGCGCUUGGUGUGUAAGAUAUAGAGUUAAUAAAUAUUUGUUAUAUACUACAAGAAAACGGAGCAUUCUCGACGCCAAAAAAGACGUCGGCAUAACGGACGUUGGGAAAAAGGGUAUUCUCGAUGCAGUCGAGACUCCGCCAGGAGAAGCGUCGGGAAAAACCUUUUUCCCGACGCAUCAAACAGGCGUCGGCCACGCGACGUAGGAAAAAGGCCAAAUUAAUUUUAAAAAACCAUUAUUCCCGACGCCGUGCACAGUGCGUUGGGAACGGCGUCGGGAAUAGGGGGUUUUCCUGAUGCACUGUGCGACGUCGAGAAAACUGUUUAAUGAGCGUAAAAAAUGACCUUUUUCCCGAUGCCAUUUGGGGGAUAUCUCGACGCGUUGACACGGCGUCGAAAAAUCCUCUUUUUAUUCGUUUCAGUUCUGUAAUUUACAGAAUUGAAAGCUGAGAGAAAAAAAAGAGAGGAAGAGAGGGAAAAAGAGAGGUCGAAGCCGAGAGGAAGACACCGUUCCGCCGUCGUCCCUCGC